GAUCUCGCACAUCACUUCCACAUUUGGGUUGCCAAAUCAUUAUUGAGUGCAGCAUUGACGAUCUCAAUGUAUUAAUUUUGUUAUCUUUUCUCGUAAUUUCAUCCAUACAUUUUCAAUUGUCAAUACUGCAAUCAAUCAUUCUUUGGCAAAUCUAAUGGCUGAGAUCGAACAGGUCCGUAGAAUACAAAAUCAUUUACCAAAGGUGUAGAACCUGCUCUGGUUUUCAGAAGCCGCCAGAUCUGUGAGAUAUAAAAGCAAUCGAAUUCAUUCACAGACAAUCAUCGGAGAUCUCUCACCCAAUCAUUAAAUGCCUGCGCAAAUUAUUUUUAAAAACACUAUUAAAUGAGGCGGAAGAGAUCAGGGGUGGAGAUUCGUUACAGGGGAAUGAGGAGGCAGCCAAGGGAAAAUACACGGCAGAGAUACUGCAGAAACACUACAGAUUAUACAGGAUAUGCUCACAAUGGAAUUGUUGAAAAGACUUCAGAGACUUUCAAGCAAAUGAAAUUGGCAGCAGGUGUAAAGCCAAAUUUCACUAUGUAAUGCCUAUUUCAUUUAUGGAAGUCUUGGAACAGGGUAUGGAUAUCAAUCGAAGUGUAGAGGAAAGGAGGAUUUUUGUCAAGUUUCACAGUCUAGCAAUUGAUUUGGUAACAUGUAUCCACAAUGUGGAAGCAUGGAGAUGGCCUCUAAUGUGAACUGUUUGAUAGAAUACCUCAAAGAGAUGGCCUCUAAUGUGAACUGUUUGACAGAAUGCCUCACAGAGAUGUGAUAUCAUGUGAACUGUUUGACAGAAUGCCUCAAAGAGACGUCAUCUCAUGGAAUGCCAUGAUCGCAGGAUGUGCACAAAAUAGAAUUGCCUUGAAAACAAAAUGGAACUGUUAGAAACUUUGAAGCAAAUGCAAUUAGCAGAUGCAAAGCUAAAUUCCACAACCUUUUCCAGCAUCCUCCAUGCCUGUUAUUCUGCCUACUUGUUUCUAUAAUAUAGAAGAAAAAUAAAUUAAAUUAUUA
This is a long non-coding RNA of Cryptomeria japonica (Japanese cedar), 1005 nucleotides long. RefSeq lists it as uncharacterized. The transcript is spliced from 3 exons. The record is from RefSeq and is a predicted model, not a curated record. Lineage: Eukaryota; Viridiplantae; Streptophyta; Pinopsida; Cupressales; Cupressaceae.